Molecule: microRNA precursor, 83 nt
Organism: Octodon degus (degu)
Lineage: Eukaryota; Metazoa; Chordata; Mammalia; Rodentia; Octodontidae
Source: Ensembl
CUCGGCCUGCGCCACUCAAACCGUGGGGGCACUUUGUGCUUAAAGAUGGAAAGUGCCGCUAGGUUCGAGUGUCGCCGGCCGAG